UACGUAGGGAGCAAGCGUUGUCCGGAAUCAUUGGGCGUAAAGCGCGCGUAGGUGGCCCCAUAAGUCCGCUGUGAAAGUCAAAGGCUCAACCUUUGAAAGCCGGUGGAUACUGUGGGACUAGAGUACGGAAGAGGCGAGUGGAAUUCCUGGUGUAGCGGUGGAAUGCGCAGAUAUCAGGAGGAACACCAAUAGCGAAGGCAGCUCGCUGGGACGUUACUGACACUGAGGCGCGAAAGCGUGGGGGGCGAACAGG
Molecule: ribosomal RNA, 253 nt
Filed under: uncultured bacterium
Lineage: Bacteria
Description: partial 16S ribosomal RNA
Rfam family: Bacterial small subunit ribosomal RNA
Source: RNAcentral